GGCUAUGUAGCUCAGUGGUACAGCACAUGCCUAGCAUGUACAAAGGCCCUGAGUUCAAUACUCAGCACCACCA
Molecule: transfer RNA, 73 nt
Filed under: Heterocephalus glaber (naked mole-rat)
Lineage: Eukaryota; Metazoa; Chordata; Mammalia; Rodentia; Bathyergidae
Rfam family: tRNA
About the family: Transfer RNA (tRNA) molecules are approximately 80 nucleotides in length.
Source: Rfam by way of RNAcentral